GGUGAGCGCUGGCGGUAGGCCUAACACAUGCAAGUCGAACGGCAGCACAGUAAGAGCUUGCUCUUACGGGUGGCGAGUGGCGGACGGGUGAGGAAUACAUAGGAAUCUACUUUUUCGUGGGGGAUAACGUAGGGAAACUUACGCUAAUACCGCAUACGACCUACGGGUGAAAGCAGGGGAUCUUCGGACCUUGCGCGAUUCAAUGAGCCGAUGUCGGAUUAGCUAGUUGGCGAGGUAAGGGCCCACCAAGGCGACGAUCCGUAGCUGGUCUGAGAGGAUGAUCGGCCACACUGGAACUGAGACACGGUCCAGACUCCUACGGGAGGCAGCAGUGGGGAAUAUUGCACAAUGGGCGCAAGCCUGAUCCAGCCAUACCGCGUGGGUGAAGAAGGCCUUCGGGUUGUAAAGCCCUGUUGUUGGGAAAGAAAAGCAGCAGGUGAAUACCCCGCUGUUUUGACGGUACCCAAAGAAUAAGCACCGGCUAACUUCGUG
Molecule: ribosomal RNA, 492 nt
Filed under: uncultured bacterium
Lineage: Bacteria
Description: partial 16S ribosomal RNA
Rfam family: Bacterial small subunit ribosomal RNA
Source: RNAcentral